Molecule: long non-coding RNA, 376 nt
Organism: Lingula anatina
Lineage: Eukaryota; Metazoa; Brachiopoda; Lingulata; Lingulida; Lingulidae
Source: RefSeq, a predicted model, not a curated record
UCUGUACAACAUGGUGGCUUCAAGGCAACAGCUGGCUGCAUGGACAUGUCUUUUUACAGGGAACAGACAGUUAAAGACCAGCAAGAACAUUCCUGUAGCCUUCACCUCAUUCACUGAUAUGUAAAACAUGGGAUGUGGCAAGUUUUGGGACAAUACAAGUGGGACAAUACACAGCCAGAGAUGGGACGGCAAUCUUGAGGAUGGAGGUCCAACAUGAUUUGAUAUUCUUCUAAGCAGAGGCCGGGGGAAGUUACAUACAGAGAAUUCUGGAGAUUUUCAAGAGUGGAUGCAGCUGGCAGAAGAAAGGGAUUAGAUUUAUCAAAUAUUUUGACUUUCAUCAUUGGACUGAUGGACAUGCAGCUUCUGGGGUUAUGGC